This 497-nucleotide unclassified non-coding RNA is filed under the name Hevea brasiliensis (rubber tree). The record is from RNAcentral. Lineage: Eukaryota; Viridiplantae; Streptophyta; Magnoliopsida; Malpighiales; Euphorbiaceae.
CCAAAACUCUCAAAGCCUUUAAGAAUACAUUGUAAAUGAUGAUUAAGUUAGAAAGAACAUGUCUCUAUAUAUAGAGUCCUAAACAUUUUCCUACUAAAAAAAGGAUUAUCAAUCCAAAACAUUUUCCUAAAAGGAAAACCUAUUUAUGGUAAGAAAUCAGGGCAAAUAAAACCCAACAAAUCUUCCUCUUGGGCUGAUUUUCUGACAAAAUAAAUUUGUCCACCUUCAUCACCUAAUCUUAAACAACUUCCUUAUCCACUCCAUAUUCUCCUUUGCAAAAUUUAUGUCUCAACACAGAGAGCCUCUCUGAAACAAUUUCUCCAAUAAAAUCUUCAUUACUGUAAGAAAAGAUCGCGGCUAGAACUACAGCCGCAAAGAGGAACACCUCUUUCUAACUUUGGUUCAAUCAUCAAUAAUCGAACUACUAAACCUAACUCGAUCAUUGAAUCUGUCUCUGAUACCACUUGUUAAAACCGAAAAUAAGCAGGUGUAAAUGU